GGAGGGAGUAGCGAAGCGUGCCAAACGCGGGUGGCUGUAACCCACUUCCUCACGGUUCGGGGGUUCAGAAUCCCUCCCCCUCCACCA
Molecule: transfer RNA, 87 nt
Filed under: Mycoplasmopsis bovis
Lineage: Bacteria; Bacillati; Mycoplasmatota; Mycoplasmoidales; Metamycoplasmataceae
Description: Mycoplasma bovis tRNA-Tyr
Source: RNAcentral